UCUCACAUGAUCCAUGCCUUAUACAUGAUAGACUAAUGAAAUAACAGCUCACAUAUAGGAUGAUAGUGAUAUCAAUUAGUUUAUUUAUAGGAUUACAGUGUUUUUUUGCCUCCACAUUGUUAAAUUCCUAGUCUCCCACGAGGCAUGUGUCCACCUGUAAAUUCAGUCAUUAAUUGUUUUCUUCGGUUGAAACAGUGUUAAAUGCGUCAAAGAAAUAAAUGACAAAGAAAAGGUGUGUACCGAUGCAUCAAGAAAUCUCCCUAAUUACGGCAAUGUAUAAAUUAGUGAAAACUUCUACGACAGACCACUGUGAAUGUGAUGCUCUAUCCAUUAAUAAUGAAGACUAUACUGACGUGUGCUGUGAUUUUGGUAUUAGCUGUGUGCUUUAGUCAAGGACGAAUAUUAGGAGAUCAGCAGCUGAACGUUGGCGGUGAUUUACUAAAACUACCCAGUGGUCAACAAAUGGAAGUCCCUUUCCGGAAAGGUGAUAUCACCCAAAAAAGAAUUGGAGGGGUAUACUAUACGGGUUUACGACGUAGGAGACCGUGUACAAAGAAAUACAGACUCCGGUGUGCUAUCCGAUCAAGAGGUGCACCCCACCCUUUAUAGAGAACCUUCCUGGAGGUCUAGAUCAACAGUUACCCUCCAUCCUUUAUAGAGAACCUUCCUGGAGGUUCUAUUUUCCUUUCCCUAACUGACUCAAAUAUUCCACAUUGAAAUAUACAGAUAUAAAUACCAGUGGCGAAUAUCAUGAACGAAAAACGAUUGUUCCAAUAUGUUUUGUUAUUUGUUAUGUCACUGUAUUAACUAUUGAUACCAUGGAAUUAAAUCUUCAUCUGUUUGUCUAGA
Molecule: long non-coding RNA, 849 nt
Organism: Ostrea edulis (European flat oyster)
Lineage: Eukaryota; Metazoa; Mollusca; Bivalvia; Ostreida; Ostreidae
Exons: 2
Source: RefSeq, a predicted model, not a curated record